RNAcentral lists this ribosomal RNA (301 nucleotides) under uncultured bacterium. Its description in RNAcentral is "partial 16S ribosomal RNA". It matches the Rfam family "Bacterial small subunit ribosomal RNA", at positions 509 to 809 of the family's 1533-position model. The record is from RNAcentral.
CAGUCGCCGCGGGAAUACGAAGGGGGCUAGCGUUGUUCGGAAUUACUGGGCGUAAAGGGCGCGUAGGCGGCCAUUCAAGUUAGAUGUGAAAGCCCUGGGCUCAACCUAGGAAUUGCAUUUGAUACUGUUUGGCUUGAGUUCGGGAGAGGUGAGUGGAAUUCCCAGUGUAGAGGUGAAAUUCGUAGAUAUCGGAAGGAACACCUGUGGCGAAGGCGGCUACCUGGAUUGACACUGACACUGAGGCGCGAGAGCGUGGGGAGCAAACAGGAUUAGAUACCCGGGUAGUCCCUGUCUCUUAUAU